Molecule: ribosomal RNA, 235 nt
Filed under: uncultured bacterium
Lineage: Bacteria
Description: partial 16S ribosomal RNA
Rfam family: Bacterial small subunit ribosomal RNA
Source: RNAcentral
CGGACGGGUGAGUAACGCGUGGGUAACCUGCCUUGUACUGGGGGACAACAGUUAGAAAUGACUGCUAAUACCGCAUAAGUGCACAGUAUCGCAUGAUACAGUGUGAAAAACUCCGGUGGUACAAGAUGGACCCGCGUCUGAUUAGCUAGUUGGUAAGGUAACGGCUUACCAAGGCGACGAUCAGUAGCCGACCUGAGAGGGUGACCGGCCACAUUGGGACUGAGACACGGCCCAA